This 504-nucleotide ribosomal RNA is filed under the name uncultured bacterium. Its description in RNAcentral is "partial 16S ribosomal RNA". It matches the Rfam family "Bacterial small subunit ribosomal RNA", at positions 28 to 523 of the family's 1533-position model. The record is from RNAcentral.
GACGAACGCUGGCGGCGUGCCUAACACAUGCAAGUCGAACGGUAGCACAGAGAGCUUGCUCUCGGGUGACGAGUGGCGGACGGGUGAGUAACGUCUGGGAAACUGCCCGAUGGAGGGGGAUACCUACUGGAAACGGUAGCUAAUACCGCAUAACGUCGCAAGACCAAAGUGGGGGACCUUCGGGGCCCACACCAUCGGCGGUGCCCAGAUGGGAUUAGCUAGUAGGUGGGGUAAUGGCUCACCUAGGCGACGAUCCCUAGCUGGUCUGAGAGGAUGACCAGCCACACUGGAACUGAGACACGGUCCAGACUCCUACGGGAGGCAGCAGUGGGGAAUAUUGCACAAUGGGCGCAAGCCUGAUGCAGCCAUGCCGCGUGUAUGAAGAAGGCCUUCGGGUUGUAAAGUACUUUCAGCGGGGAGGAAGGCGGUGAAGUUAAUAGCUUCACCGAUUGACGUUACCCGCAGAAGAAGCACCGGCUAACUCCGUGCCAGCCGCCGCCGUAA